CUCUGUAUUCUUCCACAGCUUUCUUGAACUGCAACACUUCUUCAGAUUUGUUUUGUUUAUUUGCCUUAUGGUUAUAGUGAUUUUAUUACACAUCUGCUCGAUUGAUUUUGCGGUUCAAUAAAGCUGUGGGAAGAUACAGACA
This 142-nucleotide microRNA precursor is filed under the name Capsella rubella. RNAcentral's name for it is "MIR396 microRNA precursor family". It matches the Rfam family "MIR396 microRNA precursor family". The record is from Rfam by way of RNAcentral. Lineage: Eukaryota; Viridiplantae; Streptophyta; Magnoliopsida; Brassicales; Brassicaceae.